Molecule: ribosomal RNA, 370 nt
Filed under: uncultured organism
Description: bacterial SSU rRNA
Rfam family: Bacterial small subunit ribosomal RNA
Source: RNAcentral
CGGAGGAUCCAAGUCGUUAUCCGGAUUUAUUGGGUUUAAAGGGUGCGUAGGCGGCUUAUUAAGUCAGGGGUGAAAGACGGUGGCUCAACCAUCGCAGUGCCCUUGAUACUGAUGAGCUUGAAUACACUAGAGGUAGGCGGAAUGUGACAAGUAGCGGUGAAAUGCAUAGAUAUGUCACAGAACACCGAUUGCGUAAGGCAGCUUACUAUGGUGUUAUUGACGCUGAGGCACGAAAGCGUGGGGAUCAAACAGGAUUAGAUACCCUGGUAGUCCACGCCCUAAACGAUGAAUACUCGCUGUUAGCGAUAUACAGUUAGCGGCUAAGCGAAAGCGUUAAGUAUUCCACCUGGGGAGUACGCCCGCAAGGGUG